Long non-coding RNA from Brassica napus (rape), 5127 nucleotides. RefSeq lists it as uncharacterized. The transcript has 2 exons. The record is from RefSeq and is a predicted model, not a curated record. NCBI's taxonomy places the organism in Eukaryota, Viridiplantae, Streptophyta, Magnoliopsida, Brassicales, Brassicaceae.
CCGAGUUUUUUAGGGUUCGAUUUAUGGAUUUCUACUUGUUCCAUGUCGUUUUCCUCUCAAUUUUGUGGUCGAUUUUGGAUUUAAAAUCAAUUUGGAGAUCGAUUUGAAAUUACGGUUUUCGUUAGGGUUCGAAGACGAUUUGGGAUACGAUUUUUGUUUCCGAUUUGGGGGUUUUUGAAAUCGAUUUAGGGUUUCAAAUCAAGUUAGGGUUCCAAACUUCUAAAUUUGUUGUUUCUGAUUGUCGUUUUGUUCUUGUUUGCCUAUGUCAACUUGUUUGCUUAUGUUAUUCAUUCAAGCAACUAGAAAUGAGUUUCCUCCUACUUGUUCGCUUAUGAGACUGAUUUUGUUACUGAUGCCACUAUCUGUUUUUGACACUAUUGCAGGUUAGCUCAUGGAUCCUAAUGAAGAGAGGAGAUUUAUGAAGGCGCAUAAGGCCCACUACGAUAGCCUACAUUUUGUAAGAGACUCGAUGCAAGGAAUUCAAGAACGGUGUGUAUGUGGGAAACGCUUACUGCACGAGAGAGCUCCAACAGAAGUCUAUGACUACCUACCAGGGAAGAGGUUCUUCACCUGCAAGGAGUACAAAGUAAGUGAACUACCUAUUCUAUUUCUGUCUGUUUAGGUUUGUUACAAAAUUUAAUCAUACUUGUUAUAUUUCUGUAGGAUGAUGUCAUGCAUUACAGGCAGCCCUGGGUCUGUGCAGUGGAGGAAGAGCUACAGAUCAUGAAAACACGGCUGGAAAAAUGUGAAGAGCAUAAAUCCCUGGUGGUAAAGCUGGAAGCCGAGAAUCAGGAGCUGAAGGCAGAGGUGGAGAAGCUCAUAGCCCGAGUGUCUGAGCUUGAGUAUGCCGCAUAAGGUGAGUUCAUAAAACUUUUUAAAGUUUUUGAACGCUCUAUAUUUCUAAAGUUUUUGAAUCAGUAACUUCAUAGUUUCAGAACUCUCUCUAUUUCGACUUCAUUUCAAACUUUCAAGUUUUUAAAGAUUAACUUUCUAUUUCGUUUCAAACUUUCUAGUUUGAACUAGUUUUAAAUCCAAAGUUAUCUGAUUUGAACUAUUUUUAAAUCCAAAGUUAUCUGAGUCUUAUUAAUGCAGAUUUAACUGGUUUUAAUUGUUUCUGAUUUGGUAGCUAAAACUUCACUGGUUUAAUGAAAAUCUUCCUAACUGCAUUGAGUUGAUUGGUCUUUAAAGCUCUAUGUGAACUUUUCAAGGGUGGUGGUUAGGAUUAGGUUAGAUAGUAAAUACAUCAUUUAAGCAAGAACACUACUUAAAUUGACCUAAACACACAGAGUUACCAAACACAAAAACUAACCAAAACCCACAAACUUAGAAAAUGGCAUCAUAUUGUCCAGGGUUAGUUAGCCUAUUAACAAGCCAAACCGGAGAAUCUAGCACUCCAGAGUUUGUGAACCUUUCAGGUUCUCAAUCCAUAGACCUGGACUCACCUGAUCUUCCAGCUUUUAGCAGCCACUGUUCAGAAUCAUCUACUGUCAAUGAGAGGAGGAAAUGGUCUCCGAAGGAGGAUGUUAUUCUCAUAAGUUCUUGGCUCAACACCAGCAAGGAUCUAAUAGUAGGGAAUGAGCAAAAGUGUGGAACUUUUUGGAAAAGGAUCCGAGAUUACUACAACUCAAGUGUUUAGCAUGCUGGGUUGGACCCUAGGGAGCUAGGUCAGUGCAAGCAAAGGUGGGGAAGACUUAAUGACCUAGUCUGCAAAUUAUGUGGUUGCUAAGAUGCGGCUUUGAGGGGCCAAUCAAGCGGUGAGAAUGACAAUGAUGUGAUGAAGAAAGCACUAGACAUGUUCUUCAAUGACUAUGGUUGUAAGUUCACUCUAGAGCAUGCUUGGAGAGAGCUUAGGAAUGACCAGAAAUGGUGCUCUGUGUAUCAAGCUAAGGAUGGUGCUAAAGAGAAGCGGAAGACUGUUGGUGGUGCUGUUGAAGGCCAAGAGGAGGUUACUGGUGCUAGGCCUCCGGGUAUCAAGGCUGCUAAAGCGGCUAAGAAAAAGAAAGGUGGUCAAGAGGAGUCUUUCAUAGAGUUAAAAACUGUGUUGGAGGUGAAAGACAAACUAAACAAGCAGAAGUUGCUGGAGAAGUUGCUUGAGAAGCCUGAGCCUCUUUCUGAGAUGGAAAUGACACUAAAACUUAAACUGAUGUCAGAAAUGUUGUAAUUAGGAUAAGUUUGAGUUAGUUGUCUUUCCAGUGAGGUAUUAGGUUUGAGUUAGUUGUCCUUUGUUGAAUUGUUUAGCGCAUUGCCUAACUCUUUUGGUUUUUUUCUGUCACAGGUGGAAUAGAAGAGCAUGGGAGCAGAGGGGAGACUGCUAUCUUUUGUUGUUUUAUGUUAUGUGAACCUAUCUGAACUUGUUUCUGUUGUCAUGUGAACCUAUCUUGUUUUCUCUCUGUUUUAUGUCAUGUGAACCUAUCUGAACUUGUCUCUGUUGUCAUGUGAACCUAUCUUUUUUUCUUUCUGUUGUCAUGUGAACUUGUCCAUCUCUAUAUAAACCUAUGUCAUUUGGCUAUCUCUAUUUAACUUGUCUUUGUUUAUCAUCUUUCUGAUAUUUGAUCAUCCAUUUGUUCUUCCCUUUCUUUAAACAAAGUAUUCCAAAAAAAAAGAAUUCCAAAGUAUUUCGAAAACCUACUCUUCCAAAAUAAUCAUCCAUUCCAUUUCAUUUGCCAAACAUGACAUCCUCAUCCAACAACCAAGAAGAAAAUUUAGAAAAUUUAAUUGAAGAUUAUUUUGAACAACAAAUCGAAGUAAUGUACAACAACAUAGUGGAGUAUCAACCUACAUUGCCGAGGAGACGAGUAUACAUAGAAAGAAACCGCGAGGAAGGGCACAACCGUUUAUGGAAAGACUAUUUCAGUGCGGAGCCGACAUAUCCACCUCACUAUUUUAGGCGCCGCUUCCGAAUGAGCCAGACAUUAUUCACGGGGAUUGUUAAUCGCCUCUCCAAUGAAGUUCCUUAUUUUCAACAUAGAAGAGAUGCAGUAGGACGGUACGGGAUAUCUCCACUACAAAAAUGUACUGCAGCAAUUCGUAUGUUGGCUUAUGGCUGUGCGGGUGACAUGGUUGACGAAUAUCUCCGCAUGGGUGAGACCACUGCCUUAUUGUGUUUGGAAAAAUUUACUCAAGGAAUCAUACAUUUAUAUGGAGAGGAGUAUCUACGAAGACCCACACCAGAGGAUCUUCAACGACUACUUGAUAUCGGAGAGGUACGUGGUUUUCCUGGGAUGAUAGGAAGCAUUGACUAUAUGCAUUCGGAGUGGAAAAAUUGUCCACACUCUUGGAAAGGCCAGUACUGUCGUGGUUCUGGCAAGCCGACAAUUGUCCUAGAGGCUGUAGCAUCGCAAGAUCUGUGGAUAUGACACACGUUUUUUGGACCACCAGGUACCUUGUACGAUAUUAAUGUCCUUGAUCGGUCUCCGGUUUUUGAUGACAUUUUACAAGGUCGAGCUCCAAGAGUUGAGUUCAUCGUCAACGGUGACAAAUACCAUAUGGCGUACUACCUCACCGACGGUAUAUAUCCAAAGUGGCCUACAUUUAUCCAAUCCAUCUCUAUUCCUCAAUGUCCUAAGGCGGAGUUAUUUGCAGAACGUCAAGAAGCUGUCAGAAAAGAUGUCAAGCGUGCUUUUGGAGUCUUGCAAGCUCGUUUUGCAAUUGUUAGAAACCCAACUCUUCUUUGGGACAAGGAAAAAAUCAGCAACAUUAUCAGAGCAUGUAUCAUACUACACAAUAUGAUAGUGGAAGAUGAACGAGAUGGAUACACUCAAUACGAUACAUCUAUAUUUGUAGAAGGAGAAACAAGCAGAAGUUCAGAGGUGGAUUUCUCGUUCUCUAUAAACAUGCCUACAAAUCUCGGUAAUAUGCUUGUCAUUUGGAGUGAACUUCGCGAUCAAAGGAUACAUGAACGAUUGAAGACCGAUUUAAUUGAGAAUAUAUUUGCAAAACUUGGUCAUCAACAAUCAUAAUUAUUGUAUGUUUAAUAUUUGUUUUUCAAUAAAUAUAAUUUUAUUUUCCAUUAAUUUAAUAAUAUUAUUUUAUUCCUAAGAACCCCACCUUGGAAUUCACCAAUGGACACCCAAAAAAUUGAAAGUACUUAACUUUUCAAAAUUAAUUAAAAUAAUUAAAACAAAAUGCUAAGAACCACAUUUAGGGGUUCACCAAUGGAGUUGCUCUAACGAAUGCAUAGACUCGUGGCUCUCUUAAGUCAAGUCAUCGUCCAAAAUGUGUAAAAAAAGGACAAAUGUGGGGAACUUAAUUAGUUGCAUGCACAAGUCUCCGGUUGGUGAAUGAUAGGACUUUGUUGCACAUUAGAGCAUGGUUAUUGGAGAGUUCUUAAGGUGAAAUUUUUAACGGAAUAUAAUUUUUUUUUUUUAACUUUUAACUAAAAAAGCUAAAAACCGACUCUUAAAUAAGACUAUUCUUAUAAGAGUGAUUUACAUCCCAAGUCACAUUUUGAGUUUAUGUUACACUAAGGGUCACAUGUUACUCCUUAGAAACUUUUUUAACCUUUUCCAUUCAUUUCUAACCAAAGCAUAACUAAAAUAUAUCAGCAGGAUCCACUCAUUUAUUUCAUUUUCUUCGACAUUUUUUUUUCUGACUAAAACAAUGAUAGUUCAACUCAGAAAUGGUGGAUUGGUUUCACGGCGAAAACGGUGGCGUAGAGAUCCCAACUCACUGAUUCCAUCUCCUUUACCAUUAACUUAAAUCUUCUAAUCUAAACAAAGCUUCUCCUCCAUCGCAACAGCCCUAUCGUUAGCCGCCGUCAUGUCUUUGUCUUAGCACAUUUCUGUUCGCCGCCACCGUGAAAUCACCUCAACCAAGCUUCUUCCUCCUCUUCGUUAGCCGACAGAGCCUUUCCUCCGCCGAGAUCCCAAUAUCGAGGAUCUUCAAACCUAAUGGAAAAUUUCUUUUUAUUUGCACAUUUGGUCUCUGAUAUUUGAAAAAAAUUGGAUUAUGACCCCACAGUUUCCAAAAUUGCAAAAUUAACCUUCCAAAUUUCCACCAAAUUUUUUUAUUUAUGUAAUACAAUCCAUGUAGUAUGCAAGUAUGCAAAUUUGCACCAAUAUACACUUAUCACUGACUUGAUCUAUUUUGUAAUUCACCUUCUAGGUAGACGUGUACACGUUAAAAUGU